This is a long non-coding RNA of Rosa rugosa (rugosa rose), 440 nucleotides long. RefSeq lists it as uncharacterized. The transcript has 3 exons. The record is from RefSeq and is a predicted model, not a curated record. NCBI's taxonomy places the organism in Eukaryota, Viridiplantae, Streptophyta, Magnoliopsida, Rosales, Rosaceae.
CAUUCUGGGACCGCCUCUUCCUUCCCUACACGCUGGUACCCUGGGCUUUCGACAAUUUGGCCGAAAAACCUCGAUUCGAAGCAAAUUCUCCUCCGGGUGCAAUUUUGGUUUUUCCGGCGAUUUCGCAGUUUCCGGCCGUCUCCGACCACCAAACUUGGACUGAAGGAGCGCCUUGAGCCGGCGAACAUUUCCCCUAAGGUCUCUUGCUCCGAUUUGCAUCGUGGAGGCCGAAUCGACGAAGAACAUCCUUGGGUCCGAAGCAAUUUUCUGGGCAAACUUCAUCAGCUUAAUCCGAGCUCUUAAAGGACGAGAUACUGACUCAUCGCUCGACGAGGAUCCUUACGCUUGGAUACCACGCUAGCCGUAUACUUCUGCAGAGUAGCUGGUUCGGCAUAGUAGGAUUCGGGGCAUAGCAUCUGCUGCUGUUGUUUUCAUUGUAG